CUACCCCCUCUCCUCUUCUCUAUGUCCUCCCUGCUCUCCUUCUUCCCCUCUUCAUGUCCAAAGAGUUGGACAUCCAUCUGGCAAAGAUCCAAGGCAUGGUGAUGCCUGGAACAGAAGGCUGCAGGACUUCUUCGACAGGCUGCUGCUCCAACUUCAGGAAGACUUUUGAAGAUCUUCCUAAUCAGAUUUAGAUCUAAUUUUU
RNAcentral lists this long non-coding RNA (202 nucleotides) under Elaeis guineensis (African oil palm). Its description in RNAcentral is "long non-coding RNA (EGUI_LNC062581)". The record is from RNAcentral. Lineage: Eukaryota; Viridiplantae; Streptophyta; Magnoliopsida; Arecales; Arecaceae.